UACGAAGGGGGCUAGCGUUGCUCGGAAUCACUGGGCGUAAAGCGCACGUAGGCGGAUCGUUAAGUCGGAGGUGAAAUCCUGGAGCUCAACUCCAGAACUGCCUUCGAUACUGGCGUGCUUGAGGACUGGAGAGGAGACUGGAAUUCAUGGUGUAGCAGUGAAAUGCGUAGAGAUCAUGAGGAAGACCAGUGGCGAAGGCGGGUCUCUGGACAGUUCCUGACGCUGAGGCACGAAGGCCAGGGGAGCAAACGGG
Molecule: ribosomal RNA, 253 nt
Filed under: uncultured bacterium
Lineage: Bacteria
Description: partial 16S ribosomal RNA
Rfam family: Bacterial small subunit ribosomal RNA
Source: RNAcentral